This 497-nucleotide ribosomal RNA is filed under the name uncultured bacterium. RNAcentral's name for it is "partial 16S ribosomal RNA". It matches the Rfam family "Bacterial small subunit ribosomal RNA", at positions 28 to 507 of the family's 1533-position model. The record is from RNAcentral.
GAUGAACGCUGGCGGCGUGCCUAAUACAUGCAAGUCGAGCGAACGGACGAGAAGCUUGCUUCUCUGAUGUUAGCGGCGGACGGGUGAGUAACACGUGGAUAACCUACCUAUAAGACUGGGAUAACUUCGGGAAACCGGAGCUAAUACCGGAUAAUAUUUUGAACCGCAUGGUUCAAAAGUGAAAGACGGUCUUGCUGUCACUUAUAGAUGGAUCCGCGCUGCAUUAGCUAGUUGGUAAGGUAACGGCAUACCAAGGCAACGAUGCAUAGCCGACCUGAGAGAGUGAACGACCACACUGGAACUGAGGCACGGUCCAGACUCCUACGGGAGGCAGCAGUAGGGAAUCUUCCGCAAUGGGCGAAAGCCUGACGUAGCAACGCCGCGUGAGUGAUGAAGGUCUUCGGAUCGUAAAACUCUGUUAUUAGGGAAGAACAUAUGUGUAAGUAACUGUGCACAUCUUGACGGUACCUAAUCAGAAAGCCACGGCUAACUACGUG